Non-coding RNA from Brassica rapa (field mustard), 74 nucleotides. NCBI's taxonomy places the organism in Eukaryota, Viridiplantae, Streptophyta, Magnoliopsida, Brassicales, Brassicaceae. The record is from Rfam.
GACCGCGUAUCGCAGUGGAUUAGCGCGUCUGACUUCGGAUCAGAAGGUCGUGGGUUCGACUGCCUCUGCGUUUU